CAAUUAUCAUUCAACCAGCGUAAAUCAUGACGUCACAGAUUGCUCAGUCUCUAAAUAACGCAGCAACCACUCAACGCUAGCGCCAGCAUCAUAAUAUGGCUCCUUAGCUCUAGGGCGUUCUUUUCAGCUUUGCUGUCUGACUUGAAACCGCAAGAAAAGUUUAACCCACAACGACAUUUCAAAGAGCAUCAGUGCCGUAGAGAACGUACAUGGGGUAACGCUGUGCAAUGUCAGUUGCUCCUUGUAAGGCGAGAAGAAGACUAUAGACACAUCUUGGUUUUUUUUUCUACAAAUGCUUUGCUCAAAUUUUCCCGGCGUCUUAUUGUUCAUCAUGCUGUUUGCGGAUGUGCUUGUAAUAGAAGGUCUUAUCAAGUGUCACUUUUGUGACACCAGGGAAGGGCCUUGUGGUACGGACACUUUGCAGGGAACAAGGCAACGAACGUGCUCCCGUUGGUUCAACCAGUGCUCGCUCUAUAGGAGGGUCUUCCCUAAUGGAACAACAGCACAAGUUGUGAGAGGCUGUGACAGGGAUUGCAACAAACCCUCCAGGAAGUGGACACUUGGCCGAUACCAGAAAACUACUCACUGCAAAUUGUGUUGCGACAGCGACUUGUGCAACACACAUCUGGAUGAUCCUUGCAGUAGAUCGUCUACUUCGGUGGCUUCUACAAUACUGUGGUUCUGCGUGUUGGUUACUUUAGGACUGUGUCAAAACUAGCGCACAAAUGGAGGGAGAUCUUUAGCGCUGCGCAGAGAGAUACCAACCCUUUAAUCUCGGUGGGGCGACUCCCAUAUGAAAAGGAAGAAGGAUGCUCGUCGGAAAAUUUGAAUUAAACCCCUAAAGGACACAAAUCCGGGCGUGAGCUAUAUUUGACCUCUAUAGGCUCGAUUACCAGCCGCUGUUCAGGAAAGGAGCCCGCGCUAGUAGACCGGACUUGAGAGAAUGGCAGAAAACGAGCCCAGAAACUGAAAGAAGAGCGUUUUAAUUAAUUAAUAGUAUUUCUUCGAGUGCACCCUAAAAGAUACUUUGACAGCUAAAAAUAGCGGCGUUUCG
This is a long non-coding RNA of Orbicella faveolata, 1054 nucleotides long. NCBI's taxonomy places the organism in Eukaryota, Metazoa, Cnidaria, Anthozoa, Scleractinia, Merulinidae. The record is from RefSeq and is a predicted model, not a curated record.